GAUGAACGCUGGCGGCGUGCCUAAUACAUGCAAGUCGAGCGAACGGACGAGAAGCUUGCUUCUCUGAUGUUAGCGGCGGACGGGUGAGUAACACGUGGAUAACCUACCUAUAAGACUGGGAUAACUUCGGGAAACCGUAGCUAAUACCGGAUAUUAUUUUGAACCGCAUGUUUCAAAAGUGAAAGACGGUCUUGCUGUCACUAAUAGAUGAAUCCGCGCUGCAUUAGCUAGUUGGUAAGGUAACGGCUUACCAAGGCAACGAUGCAUAGCCGACCUGAGAGGGUGAUCGGCCACACUGGAACUGAGACACGGUCCAGACUCCUACGGGAGGCAGCAGUAGGGAAUCUUCCGCAAUGGGCGAAAGCCUGACGGAGCAACGCCGCGUGAGUGAUGAAGGUCUUCGGAUCGUAAAACUCUGUUAUUAGGGAAGAACAUAUGUGUAAGUAACUGUGCACAUCUUGACGGUACCUAAUCAGAAAGCCACGGCUAACUACGUG
RNAcentral lists this ribosomal RNA (497 nucleotides) under uncultured bacterium. RNAcentral's name for it is "partial 16S ribosomal RNA". It matches the Rfam family "Bacterial small subunit ribosomal RNA", at positions 28 to 507 of the family's 1533-position model. The record is from RNAcentral.